Molecule: ribosomal RNA, 253 nt
Filed under: uncultured bacterium
Lineage: Bacteria
Description: partial 16S ribosomal RNA
Rfam family: Bacterial small subunit ribosomal RNA
Source: RNAcentral
UACGGGGGGGGCAAGCGUUGUUCGGAAUUACUGGGCGUAAAGGGCGCGUAGGCGGCCUGCUACGUCGGAUGUGAAAUCCCUCGGCUCAACCGAGGAACUGCAUCCGAUACUGGCGGGCUUGAAUCCGGGAGAGGGAUGUGGAAUUCCAGGUGUAGCGGUGAAAUGCGUAGAUAUCUGGAGGAACACCGGUGGCGAAGGCGGCAUCCUGGACCGGUAUUGACGCUGAGGCGCGAAAGCCAGGGGAGCAAACAGG